ACGCUUGAAGUCAGUCGCGUUGGCUAGAAAUCAGCCUUGCUCUUGCUUGGUGUACUUUCUGGUUGAUGGGUCAGCAUCAAUUUUGACCAUUGGAUAAAGGUCAUUGGGAAUAUUCCCUGUGUCGUAAUACAGUGGUUGGGAUUGAGGAAUUCAGCACGCCGCAAGGCAGGGUUUCGACCACAUUCGUGCUUAGGAUGCUGGCAUAAUGGCUUUAAUCGACCCGUCUUGAAACACGGACCAAGGAGUC
This 247-nucleotide ribosomal RNA is filed under the name Inocybe melanopus. RNAcentral's name for it is "partial large subunit ribosomal RNA". It matches the Rfam family "Eukaryotic large subunit ribosomal RNA", at positions 419 to 675 of the family's 3401-position model. Lineage: Eukaryota; Fungi; Basidiomycota; Agaricomycetes; Agaricales; Inocybaceae. The record is from RNAcentral.